UGUAAAUAUAACUGUGAGUCUACUGCUUUCUGUGUGGAUUCCAAUGGUUUAUGUCAGAGGAAGAACUUCAGCACUUUUCUAACCCUCAUGGUCUGGCUGCUCACAGCCCAGGAAGUCCCACCUCUGGACAACAAGAAGACAGAUUUGACAUUGAUCCGUGCCAAGAACCUGUGGAAACCAAGCAAUUAUUUCUUGAAAAGAUCCCACUUGCCCCCCUGAAGGUGGAGAAUCAAGGAGAUGUUACAUACAAGGAGACGAAAACUACAGACUACAGCCUAUCUAAACGUACAGCAAAACUGGAACAAGACAAAGUGAGCCAUCUACCAGAUACUACACCAAAAGAGGGAUGCCAAAAAGACAAGAAAGAUGAGCAGAAAAUGUUUAAUAGUAGAGGGCGAGAAGAGAAGAUCACCAAAGAGCCAGAUGUAUACACCUUCCCAGGAGACUCUGAGCCAGAAAGUCCACCACCUGGACCUUGGGCACACUGCACCUUCAUCCAACGCCGAAGAAAGAAGAGGGCCAUAUUGAGGCCUUUCUCUGGCUUAGACACUUGGCAGAGCACAAAGGGAGCCGGCAGGAAGACCAGAGGAAAACCCUCGGGAGCAAAGGAGCGUAAGAAAACCACAAAGGUUGGGGAAGGGAUGUUUGAAUUUAAAAAGGAAAAGGAAGAGAAGGUACGGGGAAGACAGAGGUCAGUAGUAGAGCACCAACUGGAUGGAGACCUCUCACAAGAGAUUUUUACAUGUGUAGAAUGUAGCAUUUACUUCAAAAAACGCACCCAUCUACUUGAACACAUGCAAGAGCAUGGCCAGGUUGGUAGAUCUGGGAAGAAAUGGCAAUGUGGAGAAAAAGACUCUAGGAGUGGACAUCUUAAUAAAAAUGCUUUUGAAUGUAUAGAGUGUGGUCUGGAGUUUGUAGACGAGGUACUCCUGCUAGAUCAUCAGCGAUGCCAUGAGGAGUCACGGCAGAAAAUCCUUGAAGAGAUUGGAAACUUAAAAGAGGGGGAUAAGCAGGUGGCAGAGCAAGCCAGUUGCAGUAAGGCAUCAGAG
RNAcentral lists this long non-coding RNA (1049 nucleotides) under Sinocyclocheilus anshuiensis. Its description in RNAcentral is "lncRNA (ENSSANG00000001170.1)". Lineage: Eukaryota; Metazoa; Chordata; Actinopteri; Cypriniformes; Cyprinidae. The record is from RNAcentral.